RNAcentral lists this ribosomal RNA (410 nucleotides) under uncultured Acinetobacter sp. Its description in RNAcentral is "bacterial SSU rRNA". It matches the Rfam family "Bacterial small subunit ribosomal RNA", at positions 355 to 755 of the family's 1533-position model. The record is from RNAcentral. Lineage: Bacteria; Pseudomonadati; Pseudomonadota; Gammaproteobacteria; Moraxellales; Moraxellaceae.
UGGGGAAUAUUGGACAAUGGGGGAGGACCCUGAUCCAGCCAUGCCGCGUGUGUGAAGAAGGCCUUAUGGUUGUAAAGCACUUUAAGCGAGGAGGAGGCUCUUUUGGUUAAUACCCAAGAUGAGUGGACGUUACUCGCAGAAUAAGCACCGGCUAACUCUGUGCCAGCAGCCGCGGUAAUACAGAGGGUGCGAGCGUUAAUCGGAUUUACUGGGCGUAAAGCGUGCGUAGGCGGCUUUUUAAGUCGGAUGUGAAAUCCCCGAGCUUAACUUGGGAAUUGCAUUCGAUACUGGGAAGCUAGAGUAUGGGAGAGGAUGGUAGAAUUCCAGGUGUAGCGGUGAAAUGCGUAGAGAUCUGGAGGAAUACCGAUGGCGAAGGCAGCCAUCUGGCCUAAUACUGACGCUGAGGUACG